Molecule: unclassified non-coding RNA, 335 nt
Filed under: soil metagenome
Description: partial contains 5.8S ribosomal RNA, internal transcribed spacer 2, and large subunit ribosomal RNA
Rfam family: 5.8S ribosomal RNA (bases 1-120)
Source: RNAcentral
GAUGAAGAACGCAGCGAAAUGCGAUAAGUAAUGUGAAUUGCAGAAUUCAGUGAAUCAUCGAAUCUUUGAACGCACAUUGCGCCCGCCAGUAUUCUGGCGGGCAUGCCUGUUCGAGCGUCAUUUCAACCAUCAAGCCCCCGGCUUGUGUUGGGGACCUGCGGCUGCCGCAGGCCCUGAAAACCAGUGGCGGGCUCGCUGUCACACCGAGCGUAGUAGAUUCUCAUCUCGCUCAGGGCGUGCUGCGGGUUCCGGCCGUAAAAAGCCUUAUUUACCCAAGGUUGACCUCGGAUCAGGUAGGAAGACCCGCUGAACUUAAGCAUAUCAAUAAGCGGAGA